AGUGAACGCUGGCGGUAUGCCUAACACAUGCAAGUCGAACGGCAGCACAGUAAGAGCUUGCUCUUACGGGUGGCGAGUGGCGGACGGGUGAGGAAUACAUCGGCAUCUACUUUUUCGUGGGGGACAACGUAGGGAAACUUACGCUAAUACCGCAUACGACCUACGGGUGAAAGCAGGGGAUCUUCGGACCUUGCGCGAUUGAAUGAGCCGAUGUCGGAUUAGCUAGUUGGCGGGGUAAAGGCCCACCAAGGCGACGAUCCGUAGCUGGUCUGAGAGGAUGAUCAGCCACACUGGAACUGAGACACGGUCCAGACUCCUACGGGAGGCAGCAGUGGGGAAUAUUGGACAAUGGGCGCAAGCCUGAUCCAGCCAUACCGCGUGGGUGAAGAAGGCCUUCGGGUUGUAAAGCCCUUUUGUUGGGAAAGAAAAGCAGCAGGUUAAUACCCCGCUGUUCUGACGGUACCCAAAGAAUAAGCAACGGCUAACUUCGUG
RNAcentral lists this ribosomal RNA (492 nucleotides) under uncultured bacterium. RNAcentral's name for it is "partial 16S ribosomal RNA". It matches the Rfam family "Bacterial small subunit ribosomal RNA", at positions 29 to 507 of the family's 1533-position model. The record is from RNAcentral.